Molecule: long non-coding RNA, 591 nt
Organism: Apteryx rowi (Okarito brown kiwi)
Lineage: Eukaryota; Metazoa; Chordata; Aves; Apterygiformes; Apterygidae
Source: Ensembl
CUUUUGCCCUGUUCAUCGGAUUUGGACUUUUCUGCCCCUGCCUACCUCACUGGAGUACCUGAUGGAUGGCUUAGUGUCGCACACCGACCCCCUCCUGAGGGGCCUCCUGAGCGUCCCCUCAGGGCUUGAUCGUACCUGAGUUCUUUAACCGCAGAAAGACUGCAGACGAGCACUUGGGUUGCCAAACUAUGGCCCUUGGAGAACCCAGGUGUGACACACGGGAUGGAUAAUCUUUUGGCUCCGUUCCCGYGUGGUGGAGUGUGAUCAGUUCAGGCUGAUCAUCUCAGGCCGAUGUACAAAAAGUUGCUGCUUUCUGGCUUGCCUUUUUGCUUUGAAACGGGAGGUGACCUGAAGCAUAUCAUCAUGAUAUUCAUGGCAUUCCACCUGAAGGUACAAAGUGCUGCAAUCUUCAGCUGUUUUGCGUUCAGACACGGAGGUUUCAAGUCAUUUCCCUUUCCAGUGCAAGUGUUUGGAGCACCGGCUGAAGAUCAGGUGAUUGCUAGAAUGCUUACUCCUAUACAUGCUGGUUCUUUCUAUGUGCAGCACAAAAAUGAACUGUCUUGUGGAAAGAGAAAUGCCAGGGAUUGGUAG